UUGGCACAAGCUUAGAUGUGUUAUAAAUUUGGAGUUGAAUUUGGAACAUUGUUGUUGUCCAAUGAGAUGACUUGACUCCAUCAAGCUCUUUAUCCUUUCACAAACUCUUCUGACUUUUGAAACUAAAUGUGCUAUUCUUUUCCUGCUUUCGUCUCCGCCAUGGUCAUGCUAAUUCGUACAAUAUUUAACGAAAUGGUACCCAAACC
RNAcentral lists this long non-coding RNA (206 nucleotides) under Theobroma cacao (cacao). RNAcentral describes it as "long non-coding RNA (TCAC_LNC004889)". The record is from RNAcentral. Lineage: Eukaryota; Viridiplantae; Streptophyta; Magnoliopsida; Malvales; Malvaceae.